UUCCAAGGUAUACAACUAGAACUGCAAAAGCAUAUGAACUCCAGUCAGGCUACCUCGGGCUCUGUCAGAUAUUCUUUCUCCAAGGAAACUGAGGAAUUCAGGCAAUCAGAUAAAUAUUCAAUGGUUGAAACCUUGUCUAUAAGAAGUGACUCUG
Molecule: non-coding RNA, 154 nt
Organism: Malus domestica (apple)
Lineage: Eukaryota; Viridiplantae; Streptophyta; Magnoliopsida; Rosales; Rosaceae
Source: RefSeq, a predicted model, not a curated record